GAAAAAGAACCUGAAACCGUGUACGUACAAGCAGUGGGAGCACCCUUUGGGUGUGACUGCGUACCUUUUGUAUAAUGGGUCAGCGACUUAUAUUCUGUAGCAAGGUUAACCGAAUAGGGGAGCCGGAGGGAAACCGAGUCUUAACCGGGCGUUAAGUUGCAGGGUAUAGACCCGAAACCCGGUGAUCUAGCCAUGGGCAGGUUGAAGGUUGGGUAACACUAACUGGAGGACCGAACCGACUAAUGUUGAAAAAUUAGCGGAUGACCUGUGGCUGGGGGUGAAAGGCCAAUCAAACCGGGAGAUAGCUGGUUCUCCCCGAAAGCUAUUUAGGUAGCGCCUCGUGAAUUCAUCUCCGGGGGUAGAGCACUGUUUCGGCUAGGGGGCCAUCCCGGCUUACCAACCCGAUGCAAACUGCGAAUACCGGAGAAUGUUAUCACGGGAGACACACGGCGGGUGCUAACGUCCGUCGUGAAGAGGGAAACAACCCAGACCGCCAGCUAAGGUCCCAAAGUCAUGGUUAAGUGGGAAACGAUGUGGGAAGGCCCAGACAGCCAGGAUGUUGGCUUAGAAGCAGCCAUCAUUUAAAGAAAGCGUAAUAGCUCACUGGUCGAGUCGGCCUGCGCGGAAGAUGUAACGGGGCUAAACCAUGCACCGAAGCUGCGGCAGCGACACUGUGUGUUGUUGGGUAGGGGAGCGUUCUGUAAGCCUGUGAAGGUGUGUCGUGAGGCAUGCUGGAGGUAUCAGAAGUGCGAAUGCUGACAUAAGUAACGAUAAAGCGGGUGAAAAGCCCGCUCGCCGGAAGACCAAGGGUUCCUGUCCAACGUUAAUCGGGGCAGGGUGAGUCGACCCCUAAGGCGAGGCCGAAAGGCGUAGUCGAUGGGAAACGGGUUAAUAUUCCCGUACUUGGUGUUACUGCGAAGGGGGGACGGAGAAGGCUAUGUUGGCCGGGCGACGGUUGUCCCGGUUUAAGCGUGUAGGUGUGUGUUCCAGGUAAAUCCGGUUCACUUUAACACUGAGGCGUGACGACGAGGCACUACGGUGCUGAAGCAACAAAUGCCCUGCUUCCAGGAAAAGCCUCUAAGCAUCAGGUAACAUCAAAUCGUACCCCAAACCGACACAGGUGGUCAGGUAGAGAAUACCAAGGCGCUUGAGAGAACUCGGGUGAAGGAACUAGGCAAAAUGGUGCCGUAACUUCGGGAGAAGGCACGCUGACACGUAGGUGAAGUGAUUUACUCAUGGAGCUGAAGUCAGUCGAAGAUACCAGCUGGCUGCAACUGUUUAUUAAAAACACAGCACUGUGCAAACACGAAAGUGGACGUAUACGGUGUGACGCCUGCCCGGUGCCGGAAGGUUAAUUGAUGGGGUCAGCGCAAGCGAAGCUCCUGAUCGAAGCCCCGGUAAACGGCGGCCGUAACUAUAACGGUCCUAAGGUAGCGAAAUUCCUUGUCGGGUAAGUUCCGACCUGCACGAAUGGCGUAAUGAUGGCCAGGCUGUCUCCACCCGAGACUCAGUGAAAUUGAACUCGCUGUGAAGAUGCAGUGUACCCGCGGCAAGACGGAAAGACCCCGUGAACCUUUACUAUAGCUUGACACUGAACAUUGAGCCUUGAUGUGUAGGAUAGGUGGGAGGCUUUGAAGUGUGGACGCCAGUCUGCAUGGAGCCGACCUUGAAAUACCACCCUUUAAUGUUUGAUGUUCUAACGUGGACCCGUUACCCGGGUUGCGGACAGUGUCUGGUGGGUAGUUUGACUGGGGCGGUCUCCUCCUAAAGAGUAACGGAGGAGCACGAAGGUUGGCUAAUCCUGGUCGGACAUCAGGAGGUUAGUGCAAUGGCAUAAGCCAGCUUGACUGCGAGCGUGACGGCGCGAGCAGGUGCGAAAGCAGGUCAUAGUGAUCCGGUGGUUCUGAAUGGAAGGGCCAUCGCUCAACGGAUAAAAGGUACUCCGGGGAUAACAGGCUGAUACCGCCCAAGAGUUCAUAUCGACGGCGGUGUUUGGCACCUCGAUGUCGGCUCAUCACAUCCUGGGGCUGAAGUAGGUCCCAAGGGUAUGGCUGUUCGCCAUUUAAAGUGGUACGCGAGCUGGGUUUAGAACGUCGUGAGACAGUUCGGUCCCUAUCUGCCGUGGGCGCUGGAGAACUGAGGGGGGCUGCUCCUAGUACGAGAGGACCGGAGUGGACGCAUCACUGGUGUUCGGGUUGUCAUGCCAAUGGCACUGCCCGGUAGCUAAAUGCGGAAGAGAUAAGUGCUGAAAGCAUCUAAGCACGAAACUUGCCCCGA
Molecule: ribosomal RNA, 2277 nt
Filed under: Salmonella enterica
Lineage: Bacteria; Pseudomonadati; Pseudomonadota; Gammaproteobacteria; Enterobacterales; Enterobacteriaceae
Also listed under: 1 other name
Description: partial 23S ribosomal RNA
Rfam family: Bacterial large subunit ribosomal RNA
Source: RNAcentral